UGGGGAAUUGUUCGCAAUGGGCGCAAGCCUGACGACGCAAUGCCGCGUGGAGGAUGAAGAAUUUCGGUUCGUAAACUCCUUUCGACCGAGAUGAAAGCCCGCCGACCUAAUACGUCGGUGGAGUGACAGUAUCGAGGGAAGAAGCCCCGGCUAACUCCGUGCCAGCAGCCGCGGUAAUACGUAGGGACCAAGCGUUGUUCGGAUUUACUGGGCGUAAAGGGCGCGUAGGCGGCAUGACAAGUCACUUGUGAAAUCUCUGGGCUUAACCCAGAACGGCCAAGUGAUACUGUCGCGCUAGAGUGCAGAAGGGGCAAUCGGAAUUCUUGGUGUAGCGGUGAAAUGCGUAGAUAUCAAGAGGAACACCUGAGGUGAAGACGGGUUGCUGGGCUGACACUGACGCUGAGGCGCGAAAGCCAGGGGAGCAAACGGGAUUAGAUACCCAAGUAGUCCCUGAGCGGGCUGGCAAGGCGCAU
This 473-nucleotide ribosomal RNA is filed under the name uncultured bacterium. Its description in RNAcentral is "bacterial SSU rRNA". It matches the Rfam family "Bacterial small subunit ribosomal RNA", at positions 355 to 825 of the family's 1533-position model. The record is from RNAcentral.